UUAUCGGAGAGUUUGAUCCUGGCUCAGGACGAACGCUGGCGGCGUGCCUAAUACAUGCAAGUCGAGCGGACAGAUG
Molecule: ribosomal RNA, 76 nt
Filed under: Bacillus amyloliquefaciens
Lineage: Bacteria; Bacillati; Bacillota; Bacilli; Caryophanales; Bacillaceae
Also listed under: 29 other names
Description: partial 16S ribosomal RNA
Rfam family: Bacterial small subunit ribosomal RNA
Source: RNAcentral